UACAGAGGGGGCAAGCGUUGUUCGGAAUUACUGGGCGUAAAGGGCGCGUAGGCGGCCUCUUAAGUCGAACGUGAAAUCCCCGGGCUCAACCCGGGAACUGCGUCCGAUACUGGGAGGCUUGAAUCCGGGAGAGGGAUGUGGAAUUCCAGGUGUAGCGGUGAAAUGCGUAGAUAUCUGGAGGAACACCGGUGGCGAAGGCGGAUCUCUGGGCCUUACCUGACGCUCAGGCGCGAAAGCUAGGGGAGCGAACAGG
This 253-nucleotide ribosomal RNA is filed under the name uncultured bacterium. Its description in RNAcentral is "partial 16S ribosomal RNA". It matches the Rfam family "Bacterial small subunit ribosomal RNA", at positions 524 to 776 of the family's 1533-position model. The record is from RNAcentral.